UACUUGAAAAAGGAAUUUAUUGAAUAAUUGUGUGUAAAAUAUGCCAAAAUACAAACACACCUUUCACAGUAUUACAGCUGCACUCUAGUCCUGCAGUACUUGAGCGGCUGUGUGUAUUUUACAUGGAGCUGACACUCAAACCCAGGCACGGUGAUGUGGGACAUCAAGGCUCUGACUCGGCUCUCCAUCUGCUUUUAAAUUUUUAGGAUCGUGUCUGACAUCUGUUAAUGAAAUGCGACUGACCUUGUAGCUAUAUAAGAAGCCUCAGCCUCCCUAUCUACAGUAGCGGCACUAACAAACCGGUUAAAUGCUAACAUACAUUAUUUGAAGCCAUCACUUUAUUCCAUCCUCCAAACCCUUGAUAGAAGAGGGCAGCGGAAUGAUAACAUUGUCCUGUUUAAGGUGACACAUAAUGUUCCCAUGUAGUUUUCAUCCUCUAUGGCUUUAAUAAUUAUGAUUGGCAUACAGAUACCGUGGAAAAUGCUGCUCUGUGUCCAUUUACAGAAAACACCAGAAAAUAUGCCCAUAAUUUAUGCAAGGCAUCAUGGGGUGGAUAAGGUGGAUAGUUAGUUUAGGUUGUAUAAUUAGAGAAGGUUAUAUAGUUAGUUAAGUUAGGUUGUAUAGUUAGAAAAGGCUGUUUGUUAGUGUAGUUGAGUUAGUAAGUUAGUUAGUUAGUUAGUUAGUUGAGGUAGAAGAAUUAGUAAAAGGAGUAUAGCAGUGGCGGUUGCUGGUCUUUCAAGGAGGGGAAGCUCAUUUUUCUGGCCUACAUCAUAAUUGUGUUUGUUUAUUUUUAUGUAACAGAACAGAGUCGCCAAACACAACGGCAGUCGUUUUUAACAAAGACAAAAGUCGCUGAGGAUCGGUAAAGUCUCCGGAGCAGUUAAGAACAACGGAAUUAAUAACUUGGAAAAUGAUCUAGUAGAUGUUUUAUUCUUCAAGAUCGCUGAUUCGCUUGUUUAGCUGUCAUUCAAAAAAAGGUUUCGCCUCAGACAGCUCAUCCAAUCAUGGAUGCAGAAGCUCAGCGUCCGCGAGAAAGUUGGGACCGCCCUCUCGUCAUAGAACUCCAGAGACGCUGAGCGUCCGAUGGGCGGGACAAAGCCCAACAUUUAUCCAAUGGGCGUCUAGUUUCGCUGCUGGAACAACCCACUUUGAGCUUCCACAUUGAAGUCAGCAGACGCUGAGCGUCAGGCUGUGUAAAGCGCUGAGGCGCUACGAGGAUGAAUGAGAACGAAGUUGUGCCGGUUACCUGUGAUUAUCAGCUUCUUAUCACAGUGUGAUUUUAGUUAACAAAAUGUUCACACAGCAGUACGUAUUUCACCACCUUUUUCUUUUUUUGGGGGGGGGUGACAUUUUAAGGGAAGCUGAGCUUCCCUUGCAGUCUUAGAGCAAUCGCCACUGGAGUAUAGUAAGUAUGGGCUGUAUAGUUAGUAUAGAUCAGUGGUUCUCAAGUCCAGUCCUCGAGCGCCCCCCGUAUGUGAAAUAUUGGCUGUAGAAUAAGUUUAGUAAUUUAAGGUAGUUUCGGUAAUACUGGUUGUAUAGUUAGUUGAGUUAUCUUUGGUAAUUUAGGUGAAAUUGGUUGUGUAGUCGGUAUAGUCAUUUAAGUUCCUAUGGGUAAUAUUGGCUGAAUAGUUAGUAUAGUAAUCUUAGGUAGUUUAGGUAUUCUGGUUGUCAAGUAAGUAUAGAUAUUUAAGGUAGCUUAGGGAUUAUUGGUUGUAUAGUUAGUUUAGUUAUCUUAAGUAGUUCAGGUAAUAAUGGCUGUAUAGCUAGUUCAGUUAUCUUAGGUGGUUUAGGUAAUAUUGGUUGCAGAGUUAGUUCAGUUAUCUUAGGUUGUUUUGGUGAUACAGGUUAUAUAGUUUGUUAUCUAAGGUUAUGAACAGUCCGAGGUCCUCAAAUAGGAUUUUUCCUCCCUCGUGGAUCACCUGCUGCACACUGGUAAGCGUGUGGUAAUCUCCGGCCUGCUGCGAUCACCUCGUCACAGGGACGUAAUUAGCAGCUGUAUUCGUCAGCUGCACCUGUGGCUGAAGGGGUACUGCCUCGGGAGAAGCAUCCCAUUUGUGGACAAUUUCACAGCGUUUUUAAACAGACCAUACCUCUUUAGUGGGGCGGUCUGCACCCGAACCGGGAGGGAUCGUGGCUUUUAUCAGUAAAUAUGGACCUUACCCUCCGCUCCUGUACCACAGCCACCUCCUGACAAACUGUCAACACUUGCACACACACACCCCACCCCUCACCCCCCUGCACUCCCUCACACACCUCAACAGCAACACCCCCACCACUCUUGAUAGAAAAAGGACACUCACACUAUCAAAACCAUCAUUUCAUACAGACAACCGAAACCAAGGACUGUUUUUAGACCCCCCCAGUGAUUUUGAAAUCCCCCUUUUAUCAAGAGCUGAGCGCAUGUUUGGCACAGACAUUAAAAUAGCUGUGCUGAACGUGCACUCUCUUUUAAACAAGUCUUUUAUAAUAAAUGAUUUAAUUUUAGAAAAACAGCUUGACUGUAUCCUGCUUAAUGAGACAUGGCUUGGCACCGAUGCACCUAUUGUUUUCUCUGAGGUUGUGUAACACAAUCCACACUGUCCCCUUCUGCAGUUCCUUUUAGCAGCUACUCGUCAUUUGAAUAUCACGCCUUUGUUUUUAGCAGCCCUCCUAUCCUCUGCAUUAAUGUGUACAGACCCCCCCCCUGCUACUCGACCUCUUUUAUCAGUGAAUUCUCCGAACUUUUAUCAAUCAUCCACACCACCUACAACAGGAUUUUAAUAACUGGUGAUUUUAAUUUACACAUUGACAACACCUCAGACCCAGUGUCUAGAGAAUUUUUAAACCUUUUAAAGGGGACCUGCCACCAAAAAUGUAAUUUUUGCAUUUUUGUGUGUCAGAUUAAGUCCAUAUUAUGUUCGUCUCAUGUUGUUAAUGUGAAAAUAAACCGUUAUGUCGUUUGCAUUCUGUAAAGAUUUAAAAUAAAGAAAUGGGUAAACCAGGACGAUUGAAAAAGCAGGUCAUUCUGACGUCAAGGUGACCUUGCUCAUUAUUAUUCACAAGUGCGUCCUCGGUGAGCCGCGCCCACUCUCUCGUUCUCGUACCCAGUCACAGUCAUCAUCACUCUCCAGCCAGAGCGAGACCCAGCUACCACUGUAUCUGCUAUGGGCCUCUUCCAAACGACCGGUGUUUCCUUGGGUUCACUGCCAGGAAAAUGAACUUAAAGCUGGGCAGAAUGAAUAAGAAAACACAGCUGGAGCACCGAAAUUAGUUCUUUUGCUCUCCGGCUUCUUCUUCAACUUCCACCUCCUCUUUGGACUCGGACUUGGGGUCAAAAAUAUAUGGUUUAAUACCUGCCAUUUUUAACCUUUAGCAUAAGGUGACCAGACGUCCCCCAUUUCCCCCUUCACUCAAACUGGCCGCUGUCACCCCCAUCCUCAAAAAACCUGGACUCAACCCUGACGAUAUCAAUAACUUCCGGCCCAUUUCCAACCUCCCUUUCCUGUCGAAAAUCCUCGAACGACUCAUUGCAUCACAUAUCAAAGCCCACCUCAACAAUAACAAUCUUUAUGAACUGUUUCAAUCAGGAUUCCGCACCCACCACAGCACCGAAACUGCCCUCAUCAAAGUCACAAACGACCUCCUCAUUUCUGCUGACUCCGGCCAACUCUCCAUCCUCAUCCUCCUUGACCUCUCCGCCGCUUUUGACACCAUUGACCACGCCAUCCUCCUGUCCCGCCUACACUCCCUCCUCAAUGUCACAGACACUGCUCUCAACUGGAUCCAUUCAUAUCUCACAGACCGGAAUCACUUCAUCCACAUCAACAGCUGCUCCUCCACAACUGCCCCCAUGUCCCAAGGUGUCCCCCAGGGUUCGGUGCUUGGUCCUCUCCUCUUCAUCAUCUACCUCCUCCCUCUCGGCCACAUCCUCCGUCAACACAAUCUCCAUUUCCACUGCUAUGCUGAUGACAUUCAAUUGUACAUCUCUUCCACCUCCAUCACUCCCCAGACCCAACGCUCCCUCUCAAACUGCCUCACUGAUGUCAAAAACUGGAUAGACAGCAACCUUCUAAAGCUCAACUACAACAAAACAGAUCUCAUCAUCAUUGGCCCAAAAUCCCUCACCUCCACAGUCACAGACUUUCAUCUCUUCAUUGACAACUCCAUCCUCUCCCCCUCCCCCCACUGUCGCAACCUUGGUAUUCUCUUUGACAGCAACCUCACCUUCACACAGCAUGUAAACACAGCACUACCUCCACUCUCCUCAAUAAACUUCAGCUCAUCCAGAACUCUGCCGCCCGCCUCCUCACCCAUACACGCUCCCACCAACACAUCACCCCUGUCCUCCAGAACCUUCACUGGCUCCCCAUGCCCCAUCGCAUUCAGUACAAAAUCCUCCUUCUCACCCACAAAGCACUCCACAACCAGGCCCCCCCCCCACCUGCAAGAUCUUCUCCACCCCUACAUCCCCCCCGCACCCUCCGCUCCGCCGAUGCCAACCUCCUCACAGUUCCCUCGACCAAGCACCGAACCUGGGGGGACAGAGCAUUCUCAGUCAACGCCCCCACCCUAUGGAACUCACUCCCACUGGACCUCAGAAACUGCACCAACCUUACCAGAUUCAAAACCCAGCUCAAAACUCACCUUUUCCGCACUGCUUUUCAUCUUCCUUAGCCCCCUCCCCCCCCCCCCCGAUUGUUGAUUUUACUUGAUUUUAAUUGAUAUUGAUGUAUUUUAUUGUAUAUUGUUGUAUGUUUUUAUUCAUGUACAGCGUCUUUGAGUCUGUGAAAAGCGCUUUACAAAUAAAAUGUAUUAUUAUUAUUAUUAUUUCCGGGGACAGUCCCCGAAUUGGAUGACCUGUCCCUGGCAAAAGCUGUCCCCUAAAAUGUCCCCGAUUUAAGCGUUACAUGAGUGAGAACAAAAAUGUUGUGUGUGGGCAAGAACAAUGGUUAUUACAGUAGCCGAAAGGGUAGGAAGUACAAGUAAGCAGUCCUGAACAACAGUUUUUACGGGGGAUAAACCGAAAUCCGAACCUCUACUGCUGAGCCAAUCAGAGCACAGCAGGCUUCACAGCAGCGAUCCAAUCAGAGCAAAGCUCAUUACCAUAAAUGUUAAUGAGCCAAAAUCAGUUAGUUUUCCUGUAAGGUUUUUUAGGCAUACUAAAAUGGUUUGAAACAAACCAUCAAAUAACUUUUCAGCUAAAAUUAUGUUACAAACAUGAUCAGAGGACAUCAAGGAUUAUGAAAAAAUGAUUGAAAUGGGUAUGAAAUUUUGAUGGCAGGUCCCCUUUAAUCUGCUUUGAUUUUUAGCAGCAUGUGACACAGCCGACCCACAGCAGGGGGCGAAUGCUGGACCUGGUCAUAAGCUAUGGCCUGUCCAUCGGUGUGCCCUCUGUUGUGGAUCUGGCUGUGUCUGACCAUUUUUGUGUGUUUUUUAAAAUCAGCAAUUUUAACCAGAGGGGGAGCCCAGUCAGAACGGUAAGGAAACGCUACAUAACUUCUGAAGUGUCUGCAAAUUUUAUUCACAUCCUACAGAACACUUCUUCACAAAUUUGCCAGCACCUUGUGAUUUUAUCAUUGACAAUUUUAACAACAAUCUAAGGUCAACACUGGACUCAGUUGCUCCACUUUUAACCAAAACAAUCAAGAAAAAAACAAGACCCCCCAUGGAGAAUCGCGUAUAUCAAAGAGCUCAUACAAAAACGCAGGAGAGCUGAAAUAAGAUGGAGAAAAUCAAAAUUAACAGUCCACCUUGAAAUUUUUAAACAAUACCUCAAAACCUUCAAUAGCACAGUCAAACAGGCAAGAACUUCCCACUACAAACUAAUCGCUGACAAUAAACAUAACCCCAGAUUUCUUUUUACAAUAAUUGAUCUUUUAACAAACAACAAUUUUAACAGAACCCCUGGGUCAUCCUCUGAUACCCUCUGUGAGGAUUUUGCAGACCACUUCAGAAGUAAAAUCAACAACAUCAGAUCCAAUGUUUUAUCUCAACAGAUUUUAACUGCUAAUAUACCUGGAUCACUGCUUUUACCUGAGGAAACACUGGAGAGUUUUGCACUGGUUGAUGCGCAGACACUUGGUCGAGUUUUCUUCCAAGUAAACCCCACAACCUGCCUUUUAGAUCCAAUUCCCACACGGUUUUUUAAACAGUUUUAUGGAUUCUUUGAGGAACAGCUUUUAAACAUUGUAAAUUGCUCUCUUCAGACAGGGGUCUUCCCCACCUGCUUUAAAACGGCGCUGGUGAGGCCUCUUCUGAAGAAGAGCAAUCUGGACCCCAAGAUUUUUAACAAUUACCGACCUGUAUCCAACUUACCAUUUUUAAGUAAAAUCUUGGAAAAACUUCAACAAGUAAAUGAUUUUUUAAAUACAAAGAGCAUUUUAGAGAAGUGCCAAUCAGAUUUUAGGAGGAACCACAGUACUGAGACAGCCCUUUCAAAAAUUUUGAACAACAUCAGGUGCAAUUUAGAUAAUCGCAAACUCACAGUCUUGGUCCUGCUGGAUCUAACCGCCGCCUUUGAUACAGUAGACCAUCACAUUUUAUUAAAUAGACUUAAGCACCUUGUCGGCCUCUCAGGCACUGUUUUUAACUGGUUCACCUCUUAUCUCACUGAUCAGCACUUCUUAGUAAGUAUGGAUACAUGUUCCUCACGAACCCAUAAAAUUAUGUGUGGGGUUCCCCAGGGGUCAAUUUUAGGUCCAACUCUUUUUAAUCUUUACAUGCUUCCCCUGGGGGACAUCAUCAGGAGGCACGGCAUCAACUUCCACAGUUAUGCUGAUGAUACACAAUUGUACAUGGCCGUGUCUCCUGAUGAUAGCGGGCCGAUUGAUGGCCUUUUAAACUGCAUUUUAGACAUCAAAUCCUGGAUGGCAGCCAACUUCCUGCAGCUCAACCAGGACAAAACAGAGGUUUUAGUUAUUGGUCCUGAAGGCCUGAGAGAGACGCUUUUACCAAAACUACAAGAUUUUAAAGUAUCAACAUUCAUAAAAAACCUGGAUGUAAUUUUCGACUCUGGGCUCAGUUUUAUUCCACACAUCAAAAACAUAGCAAAGGUAGGUUUUUACCACCUUAAGAAUAUAGCCAGAGUCCGCCCGUUUCUCUCCCAGGCCAGCACGGAGGUGCUGAUGCAUGCUUUUAUCUCCUCUCGUUUAGAUUAUUGUAAUUCCCUGCUCUCUGGCCUCCCAAAGAGGAACUUACAUACACUUCAGCUAUUACAAAGACCAGCUGCAAGAGUGCUGACAAGGGCCAGAGGGCGAAAGCAUAUAACGUCAGUUUUAGCAUCACUGCAUUGGCUCCCCAUCUGUUUCAGGUUUGAUUUCAUGGUUCUUUUAUUAGUUUUUAGAUGUAUUAAUGGUCCUGGCCCCUCCUAUUUAUCUGACUUACUUUGAUCAUAUCAACCCUCGCGGACCCUGAGGUCCUCCGGCACAGGCCUUUUAACCUUACCCAAAGUCAAAACAAAAACACACGGGGAGGCAGCUUUCAGUUUUUAUGGUCCCCGGUUGUGGAACAGCCUGCCGGAGAGCCUCACGGCUGCAGAGACUGUUGAUAUUUUAAGAAGAGGCUCAAGACUCACUUUUUUAACCAGGCUUUUUACUAAUUGCCAUUUUAGAUUUCUCUUAUUGCAAAUGUUAAUUUUAAUCAAAGUUCUUGAUGUUUAUUUUAUGUCAUUCCAUCAAUUAUCUCUGUUCUUAGUCUUUCUCUUAAUUCCCGUCACAGGUUUUUACUUUGUUUACCCCCUUUUUAUAUGGUAAAGAGCUUUUACCUUUUACUUACCUGUUCAUUUAAUAUGAUUUUCUUGUUUCAGUCCAUCAGGUUUACUCUUUUCACCAUUUUUAUUUCUGUUUUUAUCUCCAGUGUUUCCCAGAGGUAGCUCUUUCCUUGCAUAAUGUGUCGGUGUCAGGCCUUGUCUCUCCACCAAUAUAUCUUAAAUUCUCACACUGUGUGCGGUUGUGUGUGAGUGGGUGAGUGAGGGUGGGUGUGUGUCUUUGUGUGCGUGUGGGUUCAGGUGUGUGAGUGUGUGGAUGGGAGGGUUGGGUUUUAGUGAGUGGGACUCAUAAGCAAUUAUGUUAUUCAUAUCUUUAUUGAGUGGGAUUGCGAAGCAUUCCCACUAUAUGUUAUUCAUAUCUUUAUUAUUGAGUGGGAUUGCGAAGCAUUCCCACUAUAUGUUAUUCAUAUCUUUAUUAUUAUUAUUAUUAUUCCGCCGUUUUUUGGCAGUCAACUACUUCCACAUACUUCAACAUAUUCAAACCAUUCAAACUUCAAAAUAUUCAUCUCAUUGAGGAGAUUCCGGCUUGUAUUCAAAAUUUCCUUACAUUCAUACUUUCCGAGAUAUUCCAGGUUUUCCGACCGAUUUCUCCCAUUAGAAAUGCAUUACGGAAUGUUCAAAUUGGCCCUUUUCUCACAUUUUCUUCAAACAACUUCAAAAGCCUUCAACUCCUCUAUACUUCCACGUAGAAACUUCAUUCAAAAACCAAAAUAUUCACCAAUUAGUCAGCAUUAUUCCACACCUUCAACAUUUUUAAUCCCAUUUGUACUUUUCAAAACAUUAAGAUUUGUUUAAAACUUCAUUAUAAUGGCAGUCAAUGGGAAAAGGGCUUCAGACGUAGUCAACUUCAACCUCUUCUCAUUCAUUCAUACUUUCACCUAGAAACUUAAUUCAAACUUUAAAAUAUUCACACAUCUUCGGACAUUCACUCAUUCAUUCACCAUCUUCAUGGCAUUUAUACUUUUCUCACAGUGACAGUUAAAAAAGUCCAAAGAUUUUCUGACCUGUUCAGGUUUUAACAUUAGUGUGUAUUGCACGGAAUGUUGGCAGCUAGAGUGGGAUGACAUCCUCGCUAGAGUGAGACAGGCUAAAAAUUGAUCCUCAAAACUUUGUCUUUACAAAAGGAUUGUGGCAACUCACUUCGCUCUACACAGAUAAAAUUUGGUACAGUGAUGGCAAAACUCGCUGUCACUCUUCAUCUAAAAAAUCAAAGCCGUAGGACACACACAGUGGCUAGGGCAGACACCAACUGCCACAGACAUCCCCAACAUUUCUCCAGCUUUCUCCAUUGACUCCAAUAUAAACCUGAGUGGAGGAUUUUUAUAGGAAACACAAACUGGGCAUGUUUUUAACUUGUCCUAGUGAAGGCAUUUUUGGCUCCAUAGACACAAAAAUUAUAUCAAUGUGUUCAGCCGGGUCUUGUGGUUCUCACAAGCUCCUUAUCAUGAAGAUACCAGUUACAGAGGAUGAGCAAUAGGGCAUUGUUUGGGCAUUGCUCUCUCAGCUUCAAACCUCCUUUCUCCUGCUGUAGUAAUGCAUCUACCUUCACCAUGGCAACCAAUAGAGCACCUGGAGACACACAUCUGACUGGAAAGCUGCUUCUAACGGUUGUAUGAGACACAUGAAGCCAGGCUCAGUACACAGAGUACUGGGGGUUACAUUUAAAACCCUUCACUAGAGUUAUUUGACAAACUUAAUCAUCUAUCUCUUCCUACAAACUUUGAGCUACAAAAACCAUGCUGGGCUCAAAAAAUUCAGCUCAUUGAGGACAUUAUGGGGUAUAAUCAGGAUUUUUAUUCAUUUACAUUUUCCCCAUUUUUCAAUCAUUCAUUGAUAGUGCAUUAUAAAAUUCUUUAAACUAAUUUAAACUCAUUGAAAUCGAUUCAAACCUUUCUGAAUCUUCAAACCUCUUUUACUUCCAGAUUUUUAAUCAUUUUAAUUUUCCAGUUUUAAAUCAUUUUCACUCUUUAUGCAUUAUUCAGUUCUUGAAAAAAAAAAUUAAACUCAUUCAACAGGCAUGAAAAUGGGUCAGGGGUUGAAAAGGUGAGAAGAGUGCGGAGGAACUACGUUCCGGUAUACUGUACAACCCAACAAAAUAUUGAGCUCUGUCCACCCACACUGUGUUUCAGUGAUCUGCAGGAGGCGCCAAAAACACUCUAAGUCUCUCUCUCUCACACACACACAAACACACACACGCAUCUUGUGCUGGCCAUGUUUUAUUUAGAAACAAAGUUUACUUUCACAGAAGCUAAAUGAGUUAGAUGAGUCAGAGAGAGGUGUUUAAAACUAAUUGUACAAGGCCAUAUGAACAAUAAUAAUUUAAAGAGAAAAAAAAAACAGAAUUAAAAAUAAUAAAGACUUAAUAUCCUACACUUUAGAUCAAUGUAUGCCCUGCCAGACUGGAGAACAAUACAUGCAAUUCCAAUAGAUCCAAUACCAAGUCCUAUUGAUCACUUUUUCUUUUUUCUUUUUGCCUGGGCCGCCAGAGUCUCCAUGGCCUUUUACGCUGAGUGGCCACAUGCCUCAGCCUUGCCUGCUUCUCACUUUCAACAGCCUGCUUCUUUGCCUGCUGAGCACCCCCAGUUUCUUGACAGCCAUAUGAAAAAUAAUAGCAACAUAGCGAUUUACACAACAGCUUUAGUAGCUUGUGGUCCAAACACACGGCAAGCCUUUUGUGACACACUCUUCCUUGUUGUCUUCUCUCACGCUAAUGUCGCGCUGAAAAAAAUGGACCCCCCCGUCUUGUCAACGGAUGGAGCCAGAGCAGUAAACGCGAGACGCCCACUUUCACUGUUUUAGAUGGCUCAAAACCAUUACGUUUUAAUGAAUCAAUGAAUAACAUCAGCGGCGAAAAGGAAUGUUAAAAAGACCAGGGUUCACAUGUUUUUAUUUUUUCACAAAAGGCAUCAAGCAUGGGCCAAAGCAUAGGACAACAAGUUCUAGAGUUUACCACUUCACCUUCAGCCUUUUCAGUCCCUCACCUGAAUAUUAUCCUCACACGUCCCUGAAAUACCAAUUACAGAGAUAUUAGAAAGAAGCUUGUGUUUCUUCUUUUAUGUUACCGUUAACUACACAAGCUUGGCGCUAACUUAAUAUCAAGCAAACGGGAGCUAUUUUUUCACCGGAGAUUUGGCUAGCUCUGGCAGUGUUCAACUUAAGCUGUAACGAACGGCAGUAACUUUGUUAUACCACAAAAUAUGAAAACGAUUGAACCAAUUACUCACCAAAUUCAAUCUGCUGGUAAAUGCAGGUAAAUGUGUACACUACACUCUGGUCUGCCUUGUCCCCGGUGUUGUGCCGUAGAAUGCACCCCUGCAUCCCAUCCACUCAUUAGCUUCUUAAAGUGGAAGAAAAUAAGCUCAUAUUUUAUAAAGACACGAGUAUUUGGAUCAUGACUACUAGCAAACUUUCGUUCUGUUUUAAUGUGUCUCAAAAAUGCACAUAUCGAGGUGCACUUGGGUAUAUAAACUGUACAGUAAGACGUCAAGGUAGAAAACAAUAUACUUUCGGGACAGCAAAUAUUCUGAAUCAGAGGGCUAUUGUUUUUGGCUAAUCUGAAUAACCUGAAUGAAAUCAUUAAAGGCACACACUUUUGAAUCCGUCCAACGGUAGGGAAAACUUGGAUUAUUUGGCCUUGUUAUUUACUUUCAAGCCCGUCAGGGGGGCAUUCUACGGCAGGGGUGCAUUCUACGACACAACACCGGCGUGAAUAAGUCUCGCAGCUUUGCAAUGCUACCACGGGCUCUCCAAGCACUCCAAGUACCCGUGAAGAGUGUGCGCAUGAUUGGAAUAAUGGAACGCAGUUUGGCCUAUGAUUGGUUCUCGUCAGCGAAGCAGCCAGGAGGAUUUCCUGACUUUCCAAGUGUCAUUUUAAAGGGCCGAUUUCUUAAGUGCUCAGUUUGCGUAUUGAUUCAAAUCUUCCUGACACUUCAAACCUUUUUAUUUUUAACAUAUUUUUAAACUUCAGCCAUUCGCAAUAGCAGCUUAGCGAUAGCAAUUUCAACCAGAGCAAUCCCACUCGUAAUUUCUUCAGAAAUUUCAUUUUCUAGUUGUCAUUAUAGUUGUUUUUAGCCUCUGUGAGGCACUUUAAAUUGCAUUUGUUUGUAUAAAAAGUGCCAUAUAAAUAAAGUUGAAGUUGAAAUUGAAUUUGAUUAGGUUAUACUGGUUGUAUAGUUUGUUAUACCAGGUAGUUUAGGUAAUAAUAGUUGUAUAGUUAGAUCAAUUAUCUGAGGUAGUAUAGGUUAUAUAGGUAGUACUUGUAGUAUAAUUAGAGGUACCUUGUGGAGACAUGAGCAGGUUGACACUCUCCAACACGUCCAGAAACAGCUCGUUGUGUCUGUAUUUCAACCCCUCCCUCCUCCAGCUGAUCUGACCCAUCACCUUAUUGGUGAGCUGGGAAUGCUCCUCUUUGGUCUGAGGGGGGAGCAUUAGUGUAUUCACUUCAGUCAGUCUAGCUGGAGAGUGUCACUCUUUUUGUGUGUUUGUGUGUGUGUGUGCAGACUCACAUGAUGCUGCAGGAUGAGGCAGGUGAGCAUGAAGGAAAACAGUACAUAGGUUAACAAAUACACUGAUUGCAGGAGGCGCUGUGGAGGUGUCAGCACUGUAUUUUCUUUAGGUUUUGAU
Xyrichtys novacula (pearly razorfish) is the source of this 12367-nucleotide non-coding RNA. NCBI's taxonomy places the organism in Eukaryota, Metazoa, Chordata, Actinopteri, Labriformes, Labridae. The record is from the annotation of a GenBank genome assembly.